This 253-nucleotide ribosomal RNA is filed under the name uncultured bacterium. RNAcentral describes it as "partial 16S ribosomal RNA". It matches the Rfam family "Bacterial small subunit ribosomal RNA", at positions 524 to 776 of the family's 1533-position model. The record is from RNAcentral.
AACGUAGGUUCCGAGCGUUAUCCGGAUUUACUGGGCGUAAAGCGCGUUCAGGCGGUUUGACAAGUCGGGCAUGAAAUCUCUCGGCUCAACCGGGAGAGGUUGUCCGAUACUUUCAGACUUGAGGGCAGUAGAGGGUGGUGGAAUUCCGGGUGUAGUGGUGAAAUGCGUAGAGAUCGGGAGGAACACCUGUGGCGAAGGCGGCCGUCUGGGCCGACCCUGACGCUGAGGCGCGAAGGCGUGGGGAGCGAACGGG